This 253-nucleotide ribosomal RNA is filed under the name uncultured bacterium. Its description in RNAcentral is "partial 16S ribosomal RNA". It matches the Rfam family "Bacterial small subunit ribosomal RNA", at positions 524 to 776 of the family's 1533-position model. The record is from RNAcentral.
UACAGAGGUCUCAAGCGUUGUUCGGAUUCAUUGGGCGUAAAGGGUGCGUAGGCGGCGGGGUAAGUCAGGUGUGAAAUCCCGGAGCUCAACUCCGGAACUGCACUUGAUACUGCCUUGCUAGAGUACUGGAGAGGGAACUGGAAUUUACGGUGUAGCAGUGAAAUGCGUAGAUAUCGUAAGGAACACCAGUGGCGAAGGCGGCUUUUUGGUCUGUAACUGACGCUGAGGCGCGAAAGCGUGGGGAGCAAACAGG